UGGUGGAGUGAUUUGUCUGGUUAAUUCCGUUAACGAACGAGACCUCGACCUGCUAAAUAGUUCGGCGAAUCUUUUGAUUCGUACGUUUGACUUCUUAGAGGGACGUAUCGGUGGUUCAGCCGAUGGAAGUUCGAGGCAAUAACA
RNAcentral lists this ribosomal RNA (144 nucleotides) under uncultured eukaryote. RNAcentral's name for it is "partial 18S ribosomal RNA". It matches the Rfam family "Eukaryotic small subunit ribosomal RNA", at positions 1299 to 1458 of the family's 1831-position model. The record is from RNAcentral.